This is a long non-coding RNA of Ipomoea nil (Japanese morning glory), 172 nucleotides long. RefSeq lists it as uncharacterized. NCBI's taxonomy places the organism in Eukaryota, Viridiplantae, Streptophyta, Magnoliopsida, Solanales, Convolvulaceae. The record is from RefSeq and is a predicted model, not a curated record. The transcript has 3 exons.
AUUCAGCCAACACUCUCUGGAGUAGCCAUUGGAGCAGGGUGGCAAAGCUAUGUAGCAUAUGUGAACAUUGUAUGCUACUACUUAGGUAUUUGGUAUGGAAUGUUAACAGGAACUGCAGUUCAAACCAUUGUUCUCAUAGUUAUGAUCCUCAGAACUAACUGGAUCAAGGAGG